UCAAGGGCCCACACACCGCUGCUUUCUCCCUUGCCGCUGACGUCAGCAAGUGCCCCUCCGUCUGCGCUCCUCCCCCGACACCCCGGAAUGAUGCCGUCCCAGGAAGGUUGAGCUCGGGCCGGAAAACAAGCCUGUAUGCAGUGGUGAGCAGCUGCGCUCGGACCUUCGGGUGGGGUGUAUGCAGGGAUACCGGGGGAUUUUCCAUGCUCUAAGCCGUCCAGGCAACACCCAGACCUACUGCUGAGAGGAUUGUGUAUUGGGUGAGCGCUGGAUCAGCCAGGAGGCGGCGACACUUGGGAUGGAAGCAGCGCUCUGGCUCCGCCUUCGAGCUCACCCACCCUCCUGACUCACUCCCAUCCACCGUGCAACAACGUCAGUCAACUCACACGCCCGCCUGGAAAUGUGUGUUAACUUGUGCAAAACAGCACCCAUGGCAAGCACUCAACUCUAACACGCUCCGAGUUAAAAUGCCGAGAUCGAGAGCUUCUAUAAAUAAAAACCACACAGGUGAUUCAUUACCACUGAAAUUUGUUGUAAAAAAAAAAAAUCCUUAUUUUGGUUGCUCGGGCUCUGAAUUCAAAUGACAUUCCAAAAUAUUGACGUUACUCAUGUUUAUUUAUAGGCUCCUUCAACCUGUAAAUAAAUAUUAAUGAGAUCUUUGCUGCUUGGCUGGUUUUCCCAUCGUGGAUGAGGUCACUAAUAUGCUAUUGGACUUGAGGCAAACAGAACACGUGUGCCACCUGUAUGCAGUAUAAAACACCGGAGCUGCUCACGUGUCUCCAGCACACCUGCGAUUACAGCUGCUACCACGGCACCGCAACGUGAAGGCUACGCUCCAUUCAGAGCGGCGCGGCUCAGCCAGAGGAGUUCAUAUUCCGGUUGGCCCCUUUCACCUUGUAACUGGAUCUAGUCUGAACAUUGUCACAUUAAAACAGGCAAAUAAAAAAUACUGCGGCAAAUU
This is a long non-coding RNA of Electrophorus electricus (electric eel), 961 nucleotides long. RefSeq lists it as uncharacterized. The record is from RefSeq and is a predicted model, not a curated record. NCBI's taxonomy places the organism in Eukaryota, Metazoa, Chordata, Actinopteri, Gymnotiformes, Gymnotidae.